UCUCCAGCCUGCCGGAUCGGGGUCGACCUCCAGUGAAUGGCGUCUCCCAAUUUGAGUGGUGCUAGUGCUAGUGGUACUGGUAGUGUAGGAUCUGCAGCCACACAGCCAACAGACAUUAAGGCUCCACUUUGGGAUCAUGUGAUUAUUCUGGAGAAGCCUAAAGCUGGUGGAGGAAAUGCUAUGUGGCGCUGCAAGUACUAUCCAAUGCAAAAACUGAGUAGUUACACUAGAGUUGAGGCUCAUUUGCUGCAGAUUUCAGGAAAGGGAAUAGGUAAAUGUCCUAAUAUCACAUAUGAAAUGCUGAGUGCAAUGAGAAAGGAAAUUGAAAGGUGCAAGAAUCUGGUGGAAAAAUCCAGGUCCAGAAUGGUUUCACUACCUACUGCUCCUUCCUCGAGCAAUA
This is a long non-coding RNA of Sorghum bicolor (sorghum), 400 nucleotides long. RefSeq lists it as uncharacterized. The transcript has 2 exons. The record is from RefSeq and is a predicted model, not a curated record. Lineage: Eukaryota; Viridiplantae; Streptophyta; Magnoliopsida; Poales; Poaceae.